This 492-nucleotide ribosomal RNA is filed under the name uncultured bacterium. RNAcentral describes it as "partial 16S ribosomal RNA". It matches the Rfam family "Bacterial small subunit ribosomal RNA", at positions 29 to 507 of the family's 1533-position model. The record is from RNAcentral.
AGUGAACGCUGGCGGUAGGCCUAACACAUGCAAGUCGAACGGCAGCACAGUAAGAGCUUGCUCUUACGGGUGGCGGGUGGCGGACGGGUGAGGAGUACAUCGGAAUCUACUUUUUCGUGGGGGAUAACGUAGGGAAACUUACGCUAAUACCGCAUACGACCUACGGGUGAAAGCAGGGGAUCUUCGGACCUUGCGCGAUUGAAUGAGCCGAUGUCGGAUUAGCUAGUUGGCGGGGUAAAGGCCCACCAAGGCGACGAUCCGUAGCUGGUCUGAGAGGAUGAUCAGCCACACUGGAACUGAGACACGGUCCAGACUCCUACGGGAGGCAGCAGUGGGGAAUAUUGGACAAUGGGCGCAAGCCUGAUCCAGCCAUACCGCGUGGGUGAAGAAGGCCUUCGGGUUGUAAAGCCCUUUUGUUGGGAAAGAAAAGCAGCAGGUUAAUACCCCGCUGUUCUGACGGUACCCAAAGAAUAAGCACCGGCUAACUUCGUG